Non-coding RNA from Fusarium culmorum, 104 nucleotides. The record is from the annotation of a GenBank genome assembly. Lineage: Eukaryota; Fungi; Ascomycota; Sordariomycetes; Hypocreales; Nectriaceae.
CCCGAGUUGGUGUAGUGGUAACACAUCCAUUGCCAACAGGUAGGUUCUGAACUUACCUGCCCUCCGGGGGGUGGAAGACCUAGGUUCAAGUCCUAGACUUGGGG